Molecule: long non-coding RNA, 1640 nt
Filed under: Felis catus (domestic cat)
Lineage: Eukaryota; Metazoa; Chordata; Mammalia; Carnivora; Felidae
Description: lncRNA (ENSFCAG00000050319.1)
Source: RNAcentral
AAACAGCAUCGCCUCUGGCCUCGCGCCAACUCACCCAGGACGGAAAACGUGACCCCAGCACGGGGCCCGCGAGGGACCAAUCAGAAAACAAGAGGCAGGGCCACUGGACGAACCCAAAGUCCCACGAGCCCUCUAGUGGCGGCGGAAAGUAGAGACGAGCACUCGGGGUAGCGAGGUCGAAGCUCGGGGUGUUCAAAAGAAGAAACUAGAAAGGUAGCCCAAGGCCACUGUCACCCGCGAGACCAAGACCAGAGUCAUAAGCCCAGGAAAGUUUAUUAAAAUGAGAAUUCUUGAGCUCAUGGGAGAUGUAGUGCAUCAGGGUGUCGGGAAGGGGCCCAGAAAUCUGAAUUUUUACCAAGAUCUCCCAAGAAAUUCUUGCCUCACAGAGAGGUUUGGGAAUCCGUGACCCAGUCCUAAGAGUUAAAAGGGGUCCCCACCGUUCCGAUUUCUCUAGGGCUGCUAGGAUCAGAAACCGGGAACGUCCCACCCAAGUUCCCGGGCUCCAGAAGCGCUUAAGACCGGAAACCGGAACGCUUCCAAAGUGGCUGGGGGCCCGGAGGAAGCCAAGGAAGUGGCGUCCUCUCCCACGUCGGCUUGCUAAGGGAACCAGAUGGCAGGGCGGACGUCUCGGGGCCUGCCGGGAAAUGUAGUCCGCAGGGAGUGCGGGCGCGCGCCUGCGCCCUGCGCAGCUGCCGCGGGGAGCCUGAGAAAGCCUUGUGCAAAGAUGGGGAGUCCCUAAGUGGCCACAGGGCGUGGUCGUCCCGCGGGCGGUGUGAAGGGGCUGGCCGGUCCCGCUGGGGCUUCACCUACUGGCCGCCGCCAGACCUGACCCGGAAGUGAGUCCAUCAGCUUCUCAAAACUACCAAAAGAUUAAGAUGUGCUGCUUUAUGGUUUCGGCAGAACGUAAGCAAGUUAAGGGAGCCAGCCAGGACCAGUAAUCCAAUGGCCAACAUUCAAACACCAAGGAAGACAAGAAAGCAAAGGGAAUGAGUCUGUCCUUUGGCCACAAUCAUCUUGUUUCCAGCUGCCAUGGGAGACCAGGAGAGGAGGUUCCUGGCACACUCUGCACUCUCAGGAGCCCCUCACACAGGACGUCAGACGUUGCAGCUUGGGCCCCUCUUGACCGGACGGCAAGAACAGAGCUGCUGACAUCCACAGCCCAAGAUCCUUCUGAGAUCCCGGGGAGAGAUAGGUGCCCACGCGCCCAACGACGUUCCUGAAGCGAGCUCGGUGGUCUGAGAGGAGUGGUGCUCCUUCGUGAAGCCGUCUGUGGCGUCAGCGAGUCAUGGAGAAAGAAAAGCCUGAAGUGAAACCCAGCACACCCGCACCCAGCGACGAGGAGAAGACAACUAGACCCUCAAGACGCCCCAGGCCUUCCCAAAAUAUCCUGUGCUUUUUACUGAAUAGGCAGCUGGGGAGGCACAGAAGUGACGUGGACCUGUCCAUGUGGGUGUGGAUGCUGGACUGAGCCACGCCCCGCUGCAGGUGGCCCCUUCCAAACAACCAUGGGUCUUGCCUGCUCACCCCCACCCCCACCACCUCUUGAAAAUGGGAAAGAAAAAUUGAUUUAAAAUAACAAACACCUCUCUCGUGUCAGCUCUUGAAAUAAAAGCUGCGUUUUCCUCCUUGUGGUUCGAUGU